RNAcentral lists this ribosomal RNA (452 nucleotides) under uncultured bacterium. RNAcentral describes it as "bacterial SSU rRNA". It matches the Rfam family "Bacterial small subunit ribosomal RNA", at positions 29 to 524 of the family's 1533-position model. The record is from RNAcentral.
AACGAACGCUGGCGGCAGGCCUCAAACAUGCAAGUCUAGGGGGUGUAGCAAUACAUCACCGGCGGACGGGUGCGUAACGCGUGGGAAUAUACCUAUCGAUUCGGAACAACUGAGGGAAACUUCAGCUAAUACCGAAUACGUCCUAACGGAGAAAGAUUUAUCGUCGAUAGAUUAGCCCGCGUUCGAUUAGCUAGUUGGUGGGGUAACGGCCCACCAAGGCGACGAUCGAUAGCUGUUCUGAGAGGAAGAUCAGCCACACUGGGACUGAGACACGGCCCAGACUCCUACGGGAGGCAGCAGUUGGGAAUCUUGGACAAUGGGGGAAACCCUGAUCCAGCCAUGCCGCGUGAGUGAUGAAGGCCUCCGGGUUGUAAAACUCUUUCGCGCACGACGAUAAUGACGGUAGUGCGAGAAGAAGCUCCGGCUAACUUCGUGCCAGCAGCCGCGGUAAU